Molecule: ribosomal RNA, 492 nt
Filed under: uncultured bacterium
Lineage: Bacteria
Description: partial 16S ribosomal RNA
Rfam family: Bacterial small subunit ribosomal RNA
Source: RNAcentral
AGUGAACGCUGGCGGUAGGCCUAACACAUGCCAGUCGAACGGCAGCACAGUAAGAGCUUGCUCUUACGGGUGGCGAGUGGCGGACGGGUGAGGAAUACAUCGGAAUCUACUUUUUCGUGGGGGAUAACGUAGGGAAACUUACGCUAAUACCGCAUACGACCUACGGGUGAAAGCAGGGGAUCUUCGGACCUUGCGCGAUUGAAUGAGCCGAUGUCGGAUUAGCUAGUUGGCGGGGUAAAGGCCCACCAAGGCGACGAUCCGUAGCUGGUCUGAGAGGAUGAGCAGCCACAGUGGAACUGAGACGCGGUCGAGACUCAUACUGAAGGCAGCAGUGGGGAAUAUUGGACAAUGGGCGCAAGUCUGAUCCAGCCAUACCGCGUGAGUGAAGAAGGCCUUCGGGUUGUAAAGCCCUCUUGUGGGGAAAGAAAAGCAGCAGGCUAAUACCCCGCUGUUCUGACGGUACCCAAAGAAUAAGCACCGGCUAACUUCGUG